CGAAAUGCGAUAAGUAAUGUGAAUUGCAGAAUUCAGUGAAUCAUCGAAUCUUUGAACGCACAUUGCGCCCGCCAGUAUUCUGGCGGGCAUGCCUGUUCGAGCGUCAUUACAACCCUCAGGCCCCCGGGCCUGGCGUUGGGGAUCGGCGGAAGCCCCCUGCGGGCACAACGCCGUCCCCCAAAUACAGUGGCGGUCCCGCCGCAGCUUCCAUUGCGUAGUAGCUAACACCUCGCACCUGGAGAGCGGCGAGGCCACGCCGUAAAACACCCAACUUCUGAAUGUUGACCUCGAAUCAGGUAGGAAUACCCGCUGAACUUAAGC
Molecule: unclassified non-coding RNA, 321 nt
Filed under: plant metagenome
Description: partial contains 5.8S ribosomal RNA, internal transcribed spacer 2, and large subunit ribosomal RNA
Rfam family: 5.8S ribosomal RNA (bases 1-106)
Source: RNAcentral